CACAUGCUGUGAGCUCGAUGAGUAGGGCGGGACACGUGGUAUCCUGUCUGAAUAUGGGGGGACCAUCCUCCAAGGCUAAAUACUCCUGACUGACCGAUAGUGAACCAGUACCGUGAGGGAAAGGCGAAAAGAACCCCGGCGAGGGGAGUGAAAAAGAACCUGAAACCGUGUACGUACAAGCAGUGGGAGCACGCUUAGGCGUGUGACUGCGUACCUUUUGUAUAAUGGGUCAGCGACUUAUAUUCUGUAGCAAGGUUAACCGAAUAGGGGAGCCGAAGGGAAACCGAGUCUUAACUGGGCGUUAAGUUGCAGGGUAUAGACCCGAAACCCGGUGAUCUAGCCAUGGGCAGGUUGAAGGUUGGGUAACACUAACUGGAGGACCGAACCGACUAAUGUUGAAAAAUUAGCGGAUGACUUGUGGCUGGGGGUGAAAGGCCAAUCAAACCGGGAGAUAGCUGGUUCUCCCCGAAAGCUAUUUAGGUAGCGCCUCGUGAAUUCAUCUCCGGGGGUAGAGCACUGUUUCGGCAAGGGGGUCAUCCCGACUUACCAACCCGAUGCAAACUGCGAAUACCGGAGAAUGUUAUCACGGGAGACACACGGCGGGUGCUAACGUCCGUCGUGAAGAGGGAAACAACCCAGACCGCCAGCUAAGGUCCCAAAGUCAUGGUUAAGUGGGAAACGAUGUGGGAAGGCCCAGACAGCCAGGAUGUUGGCUUAGAAGCAGCCAUCAUUUAAAGAAAGCGUAAUAGCUCACUGGUCGAGUCGGCCUGCGCGGAAGAUGUAACGGGGCUAAACCAUGCACCGAAGCUGCGGCAGCGACACUAUGUGUUGUUGGGUAGGGGAGCGUUCUGUAAGCCUGUGAAGGUGUGCUGUGAGGCAUGCUGGAGGUAUCAGAAGUGCGAAUGCUGACAUAAGUAACGAUAAAGCGGGUGAAAAGCCCGCUCGCCGGAAGACCAAGGGUUCCUGUCCAACGUUAAUCGGGGCAGGGUGAGUCGACCCCUAAGGCGAGGCCGAAAGGCGUAGUCGAUGGGAAACAGGUUAAUAUUCCUGUACUUGGUGUUACUGCGAAGGGGGGACGGAGAAGGCUAUGUUGGCCGGGCGACGGUUGUCCCGGUUUAAGCGUGUAGGCUGGUUUUCCAGGCAAAUCCGGAAAAUCAAGGCUGAGGCGUGAUGACGAGGCACUACGGUGCUGAAGCAACAAAUGCCCUGCUUCCAGGAAAAGCCUCUAAGCAUCAGGUAACAUCAAAUCGUACCCCAAACCGACACAGGUGGUCAGGUAGAGAAUACCAAGGCGCUUGAGAGAACUCGGGUGAAGGAACUAGGCAAAAUGGUGCCGUAACUUCGGGAGAAGGCACGCUGAUAUGUAGGUGAAGUCCCUCGCGGAUGGAGCUGAAAUCAGUCGAAGAUACCAGCUGGCUGCAACUGUUUAUUAAAAACACAGCACUGUGCAAACACGAAAGUGGACGUAUACGGUGUGACGCCUGCCCGGUGCCGGAAGGUUAAUUGAUGGGGUUAGCGCAAGCGAAGCUCUUGAUCGAAGCCCCGGUAAACGGCGGCCGUAACUAUAACGGUCCUAAGGUAGCGAAAUUCCUUGUCGGGUAAGUUCCGACCUGCACGAAUGGCGUAAUGAUGGCCAGGCUGUCUCCACCCGAGACUCAGUGAAAUUGAACUCGCUGUGAAGAUGCAGUGUACCCGCGGCAAGACGGAAAGACCCCGUGAACCUUUACUAUAGCUUGACACUGAACAUUGAGCCUUGAUGUGUAGGAUAGGUGGGAGGCUUUGAAGUGUGGACGCCAGUCUGCAUGGAGCCGACCUUGAAAUACCACCCUUUAAUGUUUGAUGUUCUAACGUGGACCCGUAAUCCGGGUUGCGGACAGUGUCUGGUGGGUAGUUUGACUGGGGCGGUCUCCUCCUAAAGAGUAACGGAGGAGCACGAAGGUUGGCUAAUCCUGGUCGGACAUCAGGAGGUUAGUGCAAUGGCAUAAGCCAGCUUGACUGCGAGCGUGACGGCGCGAGCAGGUGCGAAAGCAGGUCAUAGUGAUCCGGUGGUUCUGAAUGGAAGGGCCAUCGCUCAACGGAUAAAAGGUACUCCGGGGAUAACAGGCUGAUACCGCCCAAGAGUUCAUAUCGACGGCGGUGUUUGGCACCUCGAUGUCGGCUCAUCACAUCCUGGGGCUGAAGUAGGUCCCAAGGGUAUGGCUGUUCGCCAUUUAAAGUGGUACGCGAGCUGGGUUUAGAACGUCGUGAGACAGUUCGGUCCCUAUCUGCCGUGGGCGCUGGAGAA
RNAcentral lists this ribosomal RNA (2284 nucleotides) under Escherichia coli. RNAcentral's name for it is "partial 23S ribosomal RNA". It matches the Rfam family "Bacterial large subunit ribosomal RNA", at positions 391 to 2661 of the family's 2925-position model. Lineage: Bacteria; Pseudomonadati; Pseudomonadota; Gammaproteobacteria; Enterobacterales; Enterobacteriaceae. The record is from RNAcentral.